Molecule: ribosomal RNA, 375 nt
Filed under: uncultured bacterium
Lineage: Bacteria
Description: bacterial SSU rRNA
Rfam family: Bacterial small subunit ribosomal RNA
Source: RNAcentral
UACGGAGGGUGCAAGCGUUAAUCGGAAUUACUGGGCGUAAAGCGUGCGUAGGCGGUUUUUUAAGUCAGAUGUGAAAGCCCUGGGCUUAACCUGGGAACUGCAUUUGAUACUGGGGAACUAGAGUUGAGUAGAGGAGAGUGGAAUUUCAGGUGUAGCGGUGAAAUGCGUAGAGAUCUGAAGGAACACCAGUGGCGAAGGCGGCUCUCUGGACUCAAACUGACGCUGAGGUACGAAAGCGUGGGUAGCAAACAGGAUUAGAUACCCUGGUAGUCCACGCCGUAAACGAUGUCAACUAACCGUUGGGUUCUUAAAGAACUUAGUGGUGGAGCUAACGUAUUAAGUUGACCGCCUGGGGAGUACGGCCGCAAGGCUAAA